RNAcentral lists this ribosomal RNA (745 nucleotides) under uncultured eukaryote. Its description in RNAcentral is "bacterial SSU rRNA". It matches the Rfam family "Bacterial small subunit ribosomal RNA", at positions 527 to 1281 of the family's 1533-position model. The record is from RNAcentral.
ACGGGGGAGCAGCGUUAUCCGGAAUCAUUGGGCGUAAAGCGCCUGUAGGUUGUUUAAUAAGUCUGUUGUUAAAGACUGGGGCUUAACCCCAGGAAAGCAAUGGAAACUACUAGACUAGAGUAUGGUAGGGGUAAAGGGAAUUUCUAGUGUAGCGGUGAAAUGCGUAGAUAUUAGAAAGAACACCGGUGGCGAAAGCGCUUUACUGGACCAUUACUGACACUCAGAGGCGAAAGCUAGGGUAGCCAAAGGGAUUAGAUACCCCUGUAGUCCUAGCCGUAAACGAUGGAUACUAGAUGUUGCGCUUAUUGUGCAGUGUCGUAGCUAACGCGUUAAGUAUCCCGCCUGGGGAGUACGAUCGCAAGGUUGAAACUCAAAGGAAUUGACGGGGGCCCGCACAAGCGGUGGAGCAUGUGGUUUAAUUCGAUGCAACGCGAAGAACCUUACCAGGGCUUGACAUACUGCAAAUUUUCUUGAAAGAGAAAAGUGCCUUCGGGAAUGCAGAUACAGGUGGUGCAUGGCUGUCGUCAGCUCGUGUCGUGAGAUGUUGGGUUAAGUCCCGCAACGAGCGCAACCCUCGUUUUUAGUUGCCAUUUUAUGGGUUCUCUAGAAAGACUGCCGGUGACAAACCGGAGGAAGGUGGGGAUGACGUCAAGUCAGCAUGCCCCUUAUGCCCUGGGCUACACACGUGCUGCAAUGGCUAAGACAAAGAGUCGCGAAUUCGCGAGAAUCAGCUAAUCUCAUAAAC